CACCGGAUGUAUCGCUUCUCAACAGUUCCACAGUUCCACCACUAGAGGGCUAACAAUUAGAGCCUUUAAUAAUUAUUUUGAAACCAAACAUUUUAGAAAAAUGUUUGCUGUCCAAUACAAUUAGAAUUCAUGCUUAAAACAAACUAUAAAAAACAGAAUAUGACACAGGGAAAUAUUACCACAAAGUAUAUACUUUAUUUUAGGCCAAUUUCAAAGUAUCAUAUGAAGAAAGAUAUAUUGUAACAGAAUUUGUUCUAAAACACAUGCACAUUUCUAUCAAAAAAAAAAAAAAAAAAAAAAAAAAAGAACAGAUCAUUACUGAAUAUAAAUUCAUUUCAUGUGCAUUUAGAAAACUCUAAAUACAAAAUCCUUUAACUUGUGAUUAGUUCUACUGCUACAAUGAGAGUCAACAGCUAAUAUGCUCUGACAAUUACACACUAAGCAUAAAAUCAGGUCUGUGUGACAAAAUGCAUUGAUGCAUUAAAACGAAAACUAGCCGUGCAAUACGAGCACUGUGGUGUACCACUCAUUUUAGUUGCAUUGUUCUCACCAACACUGUUCAUCCAUCUUAAAAAUCCAUCAGCACGUGACUUAAUAUUCAGUAAAAUCAAAACUAAAAAGAGGUUUCUCAUGAAUUAAAAAAAAAAAAAAAAAAAAAAAAAAAUAAUAAUAUAUAUAUAUAUAUAUAUAUAUAUAUAUAUAUAUAUAUAUAUAUAUAUAUAUAUAUAUAUAUUCCAUCAAGUUAAUGCUACCCAUUUAGUAUUGGUUGGCAACAGAAUCAGUGUGACAUCCUGCAAAGCCUAAACCAGGGGCACACGCAGCAGGCUGAUUAUUCAAAGGUUACUGCAGUAAUGCAAAUAUGUAGUCAUUGUGUAAACAUCAAAAAAUAACGUGAUUAUGUGAGAAUUGUCAGUGUGUUGUCUCAACUGCGGCCGAGUAUGUAAACAUGUGAGUGCUUGUAGAAGAAUCGCUCUUUUCUCCGCUCUGAAACCUCAUCCUUAAAAAUCUCAAGGUUAGUCACUCGAAACAACCAUCCCAAACAGAAGGGGAGGGAAAAAAAACUCUCUCAGCUAGACGUGCCCAUUAACACUUAAAACAUGUUCUCAUUAUUAGCUUAUACAGUUUGUUCAAACACAGGCUGAUUUACAAAUCAUACCGUUUCUGGUCUCUAAAGAUAGAAGCAAAAUACAAGUUUUUAGUGUCAUUACAAAAACAUCUUUGGAAUCUGCAUCAACAAUUCCUGACUGAGAUAUCUGAUUGUUUCUUUAUUAUGCCACCCCCCCCCCAAAAAAAACCCAAAACAAAACAAAAAAACAAAACAAAACACAGGCAAAAGGAAAAACUCACCACCAUCAGUCACACACUGAUCCUCUACUCUACCCCUUAACAUGACUCUUAAACCUGCUAAAACUUGUCCUGGCUGCAGUCUAUAAACCUUUCAUUUAAAACACUCAACACAGCGUCGCAUAGACGGGAGGGGCGGGGGGGUUCCAACAUUGUAACUGUUGUAUACUGUAUGUGGUCAUAAGGUUUCAUUGAUCAAAGAGCUAUACUUUGUUCUGAGCCAAGAGACCUGCCUUUUUGGUUAAUGUUCAGGAAAGACAGUGAAAAAAAAAGCUGCAUGUGAAUAUCAAAAAUACAAUAACAUUAAAGUGGAUACAGUAAAGCAGAGACGAGAGAAUCAGAUAAAUGGGUUUAAAAAGAGUCCAAACAGAAUCAGACCACCAAGAUUAAGUCCUGGCUGGUUUGAUCUCAUUGAAGUGUCGUGCUGCGAUAUAACAGACGACCCCGUCUAAAAAAAAUAAAAUAAAAUGAUUCAAUCCAUGUAUGAAAGAAGGAAAAAAAAGAAAGUAAAAUGCCAUUUGAUCUAAACUAUCAUACAUAUAUAGUUAUCUAAAAAUAGAACACUAAAAAAGAUAAAACGACGAAUGGAUUGUGAAUCAGGCUGGGAACCCCAAACAUACAAUUUUGAUCAUUGAACAUUAGAGGGAAGUAUGCCUGCCGUUUACGGGAACAGCAGUGUGCUUGUCGCUGAAUUAUAGAAAUGUGGGUAUUUAUUCGUGUCGCUCGCAUCUCAAAAUAAAAAAAAAUAAAAAAAAUACAACUGAAGGCACUUGAUCUAUCAAAGGUUUAACUUAGACUUGCUGGCACAGCCAAGCAGCGGUGCAGUCAAUCCGCAGGUUCGAACCCCUCCCACCCCCACCCCAAGCAACAUGGGCCUCACGUUACCUUUACUCCAAAUCAGUAUUGUUCUUUAUGCUCCAAAUACAUCAUUUUUGGUUUUUCAGGCUUGUUGAAAAAAACAAAACAACAACAACAAAAAGAAUAAAAACAUGAGGCCAAAUAUAAAGCUACUAGCUAGAUGCAAAAGUCCCAAAUACAGUUAAGUAGUGAUGCGUCACGCUAUUUUGCAAGAAAGAGGCUCCAGAGACUCCAGGGGAUAACUGAUCAGGGCAGAAGAGUGGAAGCACCUGCCCAGUGGGUAAAUAUGCCCUAGAUUCACUGACAGGCCUGUGAAAGAUUUGGGGACCCUUGCAUAAUUGUCUGUUCAUA
Long non-coding RNA from Astatotilapia calliptera (eastern happy), 2553 nucleotides. Lineage: Eukaryota; Metazoa; Chordata; Actinopteri; Cichliformes; Cichlidae. The record is from Ensembl.